This 253-nucleotide ribosomal RNA is filed under the name uncultured bacterium. RNAcentral's name for it is "partial 16S ribosomal RNA". It matches the Rfam family "Bacterial small subunit ribosomal RNA", at positions 524 to 776 of the family's 1533-position model. The record is from RNAcentral.
UACGUAGGGUGCAAGCGUUACUCGGAAUUACUGGGCGUAAAGCGUGCGCAGGCGGUUAUGUAAGACAGAUGUGAAAUGCCCGGGCUUAACCUGGGAACUGCAUUUGUGACUGCAUGGCUAGAGUUUGGCAGAGGGGGGUAGAAUUCCACGUGUAGCAGUGAAAUGCGUAGAUAUGUGGAGGAACACCGAUGGCGAAGGCAGGUCUCUGGGCAUUAACUGACGCUGAGGAGCGAAAGCGUGGGUAGCAAACAGG